RNAcentral lists this ribosomal RNA (492 nucleotides) under uncultured bacterium. Its description in RNAcentral is "partial 16S ribosomal RNA". It matches the Rfam family "Bacterial small subunit ribosomal RNA", at positions 29 to 507 of the family's 1533-position model. The record is from RNAcentral.
AGUGAACGCUGGCGGUAGGCCUAACACAUGCAAGUCGAACGGCAGCACAGUAAGAGCUUGCUCUUACGGGUGGCGAGUGGCGGACGGGUGAGGAAUACAUCGGAAUCUACUUUUUCGUGGGGGAUAACGUAGGGAAACUUACGCUAAUACCGCAUACGACCUACGGGUGAAAGCAGGGGAUCUUCGGACCUUGCGCGAUUGAAUGAGCCGAUGUCGGAUUAGCUAGUUGGCGGGGUAAAGGCCCACCAAGGCGACGAUCCGUAGCUGGUCUGAGAGGAUGAACGCCCCCCUGGGAAUGGAGAAGGGGCCGCAACUCCGGCGGGAGGGAGAGGAGGGAAAUAUGAAACAGGGGGCGAAGACUGACUCAGGCCAUCCCGGGGGGGAGAGAGAGACUUUGGGUUGAGAGAGCCUUUUUGUGGGGAAAAAAAAGCGACAAUUUACUCCCCCGUUUUUGUGGCGGUACCAAAAGAAGAAGCACCGGCUAACUUCGUG